UACGUAGGGCGCAAGCGUUGUCCGGAAUUAUUGGGCGUAAAGAGCUCGUAGGUGGUUUGUCGCGUCUGCUGUGAAAUCCCGAGGCUCAACCUCGGGCUUGCAGUGGGUACGGGCAGACUAGAGUGCGGUAGGGGAGACUGGAAUUCCUGGUGUAGCGGUGGAAUGCGCAGAUAUCAGGAGGAACACCGAUGGCGAAGGCAGGUCUCUGGGCCGCAACUGACGCUGAGGAGCGAAAGCAUGGGGAGCGAACAGG
Molecule: ribosomal RNA, 253 nt
Filed under: uncultured bacterium
Lineage: Bacteria
Description: partial 16S ribosomal RNA
Rfam family: Bacterial small subunit ribosomal RNA
Source: RNAcentral